This 591-nucleotide ribosomal RNA is filed under the name uncultured archaeon. RNAcentral describes it as "bacterial SSU rRNA". It matches the Rfam family "Archaeal small subunit ribosomal RNA", at positions 4 to 600 of the family's 1478-position model. The record is from RNAcentral.
UUGGUUGAUCCUGCCGGAGGUCACUGCUAUUGGGAUUCGACUAAGCCAUGCGAGUCGAGAGGGUUCGGCCCUCGGCAGACGGCUCAGUAACACGUGGAUAAUCUGCCCUAAGGAGGAGGAUAACCUCGGGAAACUGAGAAUAAUACUCCAUAGGUCUAGAAGGCUGGAAUGCAUCUAGACCCAAAACUCUGGUGCCUUAGGAUGAGUCCGCGGACUAUCAGGUUGUAGUCAGGGUAAUGACCUGACUAGCCUACGACGGAUAUGGGUUGUGAGAGCAAUAACCCAGAGACGAUAUCUGAGACACGAUAUCGGGCCCUACGGGGCGCAGCAGGCGCGAAAACUUCACAAUGUGCGAAAGCACGAUGAGGGGAUCCCAAGUGCUGGCUCGUAAGAGUCAGCUGUUUCUCUGUCUAAAAAACAGAGAGAGUAAGGGCUGGGUAAGACGGGUGCCAGCCGCCGCGGUAAUACCUGCAGCUCAAGUGGUGACCACUAUUAUUGGACCUAAAACGUCCGUAGCCGGUUUGGUAAAUGCCUGGGUAAAUCGUGUAGCUUAACUAUACGGCUUCCGGGUAGACUGUUGAACUUGAGACC